Molecule: unclassified non-coding RNA, 200 nt
Filed under: Hevea brasiliensis (rubber tree)
Lineage: Eukaryota; Viridiplantae; Streptophyta; Magnoliopsida; Malpighiales; Euphorbiaceae
Source: RNAcentral
AGUAAGGUUUGUAAUGAAAUGUGAGAAGAAAGCUGGGAUUCCUGACACUAUAUCAGUGUAGAUUAAACCAAUUCCAGGUACUCUAGAAACUCCAAGUCCUGGGCUUAAAUCUGUAAGCCAUUCGGUAGGCACCUUGUUUUGUAAAUCAAACUCAUAUUUCUUCUUAGUUCCAUAAUGCCAUGCGAACAUGACUGUGAAGG